GGUUAAGCGACUAAGCGUACACGGUGGAUGCCCUGGCAGUCAGAGGCGAUGAAGGACGUGCUAAUCUGCGAUAAGCGUCGGUAAGGUGAUAUGAACCGUUAUAACCGGCGAUUUCCGAAUGGGGAAACCCAGUGUGUUUCGACACACUAUCAUUAACUGAAUCCAUAGGUUAAUGAGGCGAACCGGGGGAACUGAAACAUCUAAGUACCCCGAGGAAAAGAAAUCAACCGAGAUUCCCCCAGUAGCGGCGAGCGAACGGGGAGCAGCCCAGAGCCUGAAUCAGUGUGUGUGUUAGUGGAAGCGUCUGGAAAGGCGCGCGAUACAGGGUGACAGCCCCGUACACAAAAAUGCACAUGCUGUGAGCUCGAUGAGUAGGGCGGGACACGUGGUAUCCUGUCUGAAUAUGGGGGGACCAUCCUCCAAGGCUAAAUACUCCUGACUGACCGAUAGUGAACCAGUACCGUGAGGGAAAGGCGAAAAGAACCCCGGCGAGGGGAGUGAAAAAGAACCUGAAACCGUGUACGUACAAGCAGUGGGAGCACGCUUCGGCGUGUGACUGCGUACCUUUUGUAUAAUGGGUCAGCGACUUAUAUUCUGUAGCAAGGUUAACCGAAUAGGGGAGCCGAAGGGAAACCGAGUCUUAACUGGGCGUUAAGUUGCAGGGUAUAGACCCGAAACCCGGUGAUCUAGCCAUGGGCAGGUUGAAGGUUGGGUAACACUAACUGGAGGACCGAACCGACUAAUGUUGAAAAAUUAGCGGAUGACUUGUGGCUGGGGGUGAAAGGCCAAUCAAACCGGGAGAUAGCUGGUUCUCCCCGAAAGCUAUUUAGGUAGCGCCUCGUGAAUUCAUCUCCGGGGGUAGAGCACUGUUUCGGCAAGGGGGUCAUCCCGACUUACCAACCCGAUGCAAACUGCGAAUACCGGAGAAUGUUAUCACGGGAGACACACGGCGGGUGCUAACGUCCGUCGUGAAGAGGGAAACAACCCAGACCGCCAGCUAAGGUCCCAAAGUCAUGGUUAAGUGGGAAACGAUGUGGGAAGGCCCAGACAGCCAGGAUGUUGGCUUAGAAGCAGCCAUCAUUUAAAGAAAGCGUAAUAGCUCACUGGUCGAGUCGGCCUGCGCGGAAGAUGUAACGGGGCUAAACCAUGCACCGAAGCUGCGGCAGCGACACUAUGUGUUGUUGGGUAGGGGAGCGUUCUGUAAGCCUGUGAAGGUGUGCUGUGAGGCAUGCUGGAGGUAUCAGAAGUGCGAAUGCUGACAUAAGUAACGAUAAAGCGGGUGAAAAGCCCGCUCGCCGGAAGACCAAGGGUUCCUGUCCAACGUUAAUCGGGGCAGGGUGAGUCGACCCCUAAGGCGAGGCCGAAAGGCGUAGUCGAUGGGAAACAGGUUAAUAUUCCUGUACUUGGUGUUACUGCGAAGGGGGGACGGAGAAGGCUAUGUUGGCCGGGCGACGGUUGUCCCGGUUUAAGCGUGUAGGCUGGUUUUCCAGGCAAAUCCGGAAAAUCAAGGCUGAGGCGUGAUGACGAGGCACUACGGUGCUGAAGCAACAAAUGCCCUGCUUCCAGGAAAAGCCUCUAAGCAUCAGGUAACAUCAAAUCGUACCCCAAACCGACACAGGUGGUCAGGUAGAGAAUACCAAGGCGCUUGAGAGAACUCGGGUGAAGGAACUAGGCAAAAUGGUGCCGUAACUUCGGGAGAAGGCACGC
RNAcentral lists this ribosomal RNA (1707 nucleotides) under Escherichia coli. RNAcentral describes it as "partial 23S ribosomal RNA". It matches the Rfam family "Bacterial large subunit ribosomal RNA", at positions 1 to 1751 of the family's 2925-position model. The record is from RNAcentral. Lineage: Bacteria; Pseudomonadati; Pseudomonadota; Gammaproteobacteria; Enterobacterales; Enterobacteriaceae.